GUCAAUGUUAGGGAUCAUCAUCAUCACCAUAACAAUAACGCCAAUCAUCAGUUCCACGGAAACCGUGUGCGAAGUGACAGCGAAUAACGCGAAGUCUACAGCCUUAACGGUCCGACAGCCAAGCAGACGGCGCAGCCUUGUGAGGUGCAAGCGUUGAGCGGAGGAAGGAAGCUUAGGCGGCGGCGGCGCGUCAAAGCUCCUUUGCGGCCAUGGUCUGCUUAGCCAUGAUGGCCUGCCCCUGCUCCGAUGGCAGCCAUGCCCGUCGACAAUAAGACUGCAGGUGCGAAGCGCCUACCGUAUUACCUCAUCGUCGAUGGCCAAGAUGAAGCAGCUGCGCGACCGCCAAUCCUCAGACGUGCUGCGCGACCGCUGAUCCCCAGACGUGCGGCGCGACGCCGUGGCGUUGGACCAGCGAAAGCCGCCUCCGAAGCCGGUGGUCACAGGGACAAGGGAGCGUCGUCAGGAGGUUGAAAACGCGGUUGUUCCAUAUAGAACGCUUUUAAGCAAACUUCUAGACAGCAUUAUGAAAGGAAAAAAAAAGCGUUUGUUGUGUCGUUUUUAA
Non-coding RNA from Dermacentor albipictus, 562 nucleotides. Lineage: Eukaryota; Metazoa; Arthropoda; Arachnida; Ixodida; Ixodidae. The record is from RefSeq and is a predicted model, not a curated record.